AUUGAACGCUGGCGGCAGGCCUAACACAUGCAAGUCGAACGGUAACAGGAAGCAGCUUGCUGCUUCGCUGACGAGUGGCGGACGGGUGAGUAAUGUCUGGGAAGCUGCCUGAUGGAGGGGGAUAACUACUGGAAACGGUAGCUAAUACCGCAUAAUGUCGCAAGACCAAAGAGGGGGACCUUCGGGCCUCUUGCCAUCGGAUGUGCCCAGAUGGGAUUAGCUUGUUGGUGGGGUAACGGCUCACCAAGGCGACGAUCCCUAGCUGGUCUGAGAGGAUGACCAGCCACACUGGAACUGAGACACGGUCCAGACUCCUACGGGAGGCAGCAGUGGGGAAUAUUGCACAAUGGGCGCAAGCCUGAUGCAGCCAUGCCGCGUGUAUGAAGAAGGCCUUCGGGUUGUAAAGUACUUUCAGCGGGGAGGAAGGGAGUAAAGUUAAUACCUUUGCGCAUUGACGUUACCCGCAGAAGAAGCACCGGCUAACUCCGUG
RNAcentral lists this ribosomal RNA (490 nucleotides) under uncultured bacterium. Its description in RNAcentral is "partial 16S ribosomal RNA". It matches the Rfam family "Bacterial small subunit ribosomal RNA", at positions 30 to 507 of the family's 1533-position model. The record is from RNAcentral.